Manis pentadactyla (Chinese pangolin) is the source of this 8159-nucleotide long non-coding RNA. RefSeq lists it as uncharacterized. NCBI's taxonomy places the organism in Eukaryota, Metazoa, Chordata, Mammalia, Pholidota, Manidae. The record is from RefSeq and is a predicted model, not a curated record. The transcript has 3 exons.
UGAGCUCUCCGGCCGCCGGCCCCCGCCCCUUCGGGCUCUGGCGAGGUGGUCGGAAACCCCUGGUCGGCGACGGGCCGGUGGUUACCGAGGAGUUCCCUCGCCCAGCCGCGACGGAAGCAGCCCUCAGGGCGGCGGGUGGCGCGCCCCUGCUCCGUCCCUCCCGCUCCCUGGAGCCGGAACCCACCCUGGGCAGCUGCCCCUUGCCGGACGCCGAGCGCGCGCCCGGCCUUGGGCUGGCAGGAGCCGCCCGCAGCUCGCCCGUUUGCGAUUCAGAAUUCCUUCCACGCUCAAGUUUGUUGAAGGAAAAUGCUGUUGGAAAUUUCAGCGUGUGAAUAAAAGGCAUAGGGUGUGGUAAAUGACAGUUACAAACUGAGUCGUGUAUUUUGCUGCAAUGGCAACAGUGGCACAUUGGGAGGAAAUAAGCCAGACUCAUCCUCCUCUACUCCACUACCAAAUGUUGAGGUUCUUCAAGAAUCAGUCCCUUGGAAAUGACAUCAGCAAAAAUGUCAAGUAGGGAACUCCCAAGGACCUGUCCCUCCACAUAAACAGCAAAUAAAUCUUCACAAUUAUCAGAAUCAAGUUUCUGUUUUCUCUGGAAACUAGUCAAAGGUUUAGUAACCAUGCAAGCAUUUAAGCAAGAAAAAGGUGGUUGAAUCUCACUAGGAGAGCUUUGUGUCAUUUAAACUUAUCCUGGGCCCAUUUCCUCAUCCCUAGUUCGUGACAGUUUUGAAGACAACAACCUGUAUUUCUAGUAUAAAUUACUGGUGCUAGAGGGAGCAGAAUGGAUCUUCUCAAAGAAUUAUGGUGGUUUAUUUGGACCUGUCUGGUAGCUCCCUGAAAGACUGGCACAAAGGGCUUUCCCUUAUUUUGCCAACUCAGAACUCUCCCAUAUCAGAGGUGACUGCUCAGGGGACAUUUGUCAAAAACAUACAAAGGUGGUUUAUCUGCUGCCACCUGGCGAAAGGACUAAUAAUUGGGGCAAACAAUAGACACACCAAAAAGCCUGGGAGGGAAGGCUGAGUGAUAUGCUUUGGAGCAUAAAUUGUUUGAAUAAGGCCCCCACAUAUUCCUGGGAAUCUAAAAAGCUACAUGCACAUCCAUGGGUGGGCCAAAUGCUCAGAAAAAGACCCUAAAAUCUCACCUUUGGUUAACUCAGGGUCUGCACAAAUAGGAAAUGAAGCCUAAAAUGGAUUUGUAAAUUGCCACCAGACUGUUAAAACCAUGACCCAACACAAACACAGAGCCCACUAGAAAAAAACUGGAAGUUUUUUUUUCAUUUUUUUGUUCUAGACAUUUAAGAAAAUAUCUCUUGAAUCACUAACUGACCAUUAAGCAAACAGAACAGAGACUAUAGUGGCCACACACAAGGGAUACAAACUGUACAAACUUAGUUCAGAAAAGUCAUUGAAAUAAACAGCAACCACAACCCUCAACAACAAAAAACUAGAAUGGAAAGAGAAUCUUAUUCCCAGACUUACAACAUUAUAGUAAUCAAUAUGUCUAGUCUUCAACAAAAUACUACAUGGCAGGCAAAAAAGAUACUAUUGCCCAUAUACAGGGAAAAAAAACUUCCCUGGAAGGACAAAUGUUGGACUUACUACACAAAGACUUUCCAUUGAGUAUAGUGGAAGAACUAAAGCAGAUCAGGAGAGCCUUAUCUCACCAGAGAAUAUUAAUAUGGAGAUUGAAUGUGUAAAAAGAACCAAAUCGAAAUUCUGGAGUUAAAAAGUACAAAACAGACAAAAUUCACUAGAGGGAUUCAACAGCAGAUGUGAGCAGUCAAAAGAAAGAAUCAGCAGACUUCAAGAUACAUCAAGUAAGAUAACUCAGUCUGAGGAGUAGAAAGGAAAAAGAAUGAAAAAUGAACAGCACCUAAGAGCCUAUGGAACAAUAUUGAGAAUACCAAUAUGUGCUUAAUGGGGGUCCCAGAAAGAAAGUAGAGAGAAUGGAACAGAAAGAAUAUUUGAAGAAAUAAUGGUCAAGAACUUUGACCAUUACUGAUGAGAGAGAUGAGUCUAGAUGCCCAAGAAGCUCAAAGAAAGGUAAAGAUGAAGAGACACACCAAGACAGGUUGUAAUCUAAAUGGUCAAAAUUCAAUGGCAAAGAAUCCUGAAAGCAGUAAGAGAGAAGCAAGUAUUCACACACAAGGGAACCUCAAUAAGAUUAACAGCUGAUUUCUCACCAGAAACUAUGGAAGCUAGGGGGCAGUGCAGUGAUAUAUUCAAAGUACUGAAAGAAAAAUGUCAGCUAAAUUCUAUAUCCAGCAAAACUAUGAAGGAAAAAUUAAGACAUUCUCAAGAUAACAACUGAAGAGAGUUUGUCACUAGUAGACCCAUCCUGCAAGAAAUACUAAAGGAAUUCCUUAAGCCUGAAAUGAAAGGACAGUAACUUGAAUCCACACAGAGAAAUAAAAAAUUAGCUAUGUAAGUAAAUAUAAAAGUUUGUGUUAAUGCAUUUUUGUUGGUAACUUUUUUUUUCCUGCAUGAUUUAAAACAACUACAAGAACAGUAAAAGACUCAUAUGUCCUGAUUUCAAAGCUACUUAUAGAGCUACAGUGAUCAAAACAGUGUGGAACUGGCAGAAGUUUUGAUAAGUAAAUGUAAUAGAAUUAAGAGCACAGAAAUAAACCCAUAUUUAUGUGGUCAAUUGAUUUUUGACAAAGAUGUCCAGACAGCUCAGUGGGGAAAAAAUAGCAUUUUCAGUAAACGCUGAGAAAACCAGAUAUCUACAUGGCAAAGGAAUGAAUUUUGACUAUUACCUCACUCCAUAUAACAUUUAACUCAAGAUGAAUCAGACUUAAAUGUAACAACAAAACUAUACAAAUCUGAAAAAAAUUAUUGGGGUAGGACUACAUGACGGGGUUUAGCAAUAGAUUCUUAGAUGAGACAUCACAAAUAACAAAAUGAAAACAGGUAAAUUCUGGACUUAAUUUAAAACCUUUGUACAUCAAAUAAUAUUAUCAAGGAAAAAGGGCCCACUGAAUCUGAAAAAAAUACUUGCAAAUCAUUAUCUGUUAAGGUUCUCUUGUCUAGAAUAAAUAAAUCUUAUAAGUCAUCAAUAAAAAAAAAUUUUUUAAUAGAUAAUGACUUAGACAUUUUUCAAGGAAGAUAUUCCAAUGGCUAGCAAACACUAAAAGAUCCUCAACAUCUUAAGUCAUUAAGGAUAUGCAAAUCAAAACUACAUGAGAUAAUCCUCAUGUAAUUGGAGAUUAAUGAUACCAAAAUAAAAAUUUUAAUUAAAAAAAAUUUAAAAACUACAUGAGAUAGCACUUCAUACCCACUAGGAUGACUAUAAUUCAAAAACAAGUGUUGGUAAGGAUGUGGAAAAAUUAGAACCCUCAUAAAUUGCUAGUGGGAAUGUAAAAUAGUGCAGCCAUUGUGGAAAACAGUUUGAGGAUUCUUCAAGAACUUAUUUUGAACUACCGUAUGAACCAGCAGUGCUACUCCUAAAUACAUAUUUAAGAACUGAAAAUGGGUAUUCAAACAAAGUUUCAAGUGAAUGUUUACAGCUAAACAAUAACCAAAAAGUAGAAAGAAAUGUCCAUCAAUAGAUGGAUAAACAAAUUGUGGUAUACCUAUACAUUAUUCAACUGUAAAUAGGAAUAAAAUGGUGAUGCAUGAUACAACAUGGAUCAACCUUGAAGAACAUGCUAAGCAAAAAAAUCCAGACAGAAAAAGUCACUUACGUGAUUCCAUUUAUGUGAAAUGUCAAAUAGGCAAAUCCAUAAAGAUAGAAAACAGGUUAGUAGUUGCCAGAGGCUAGGCAGAGGUAGGAUUGAGGAGUUACUGCUUAAUGGAUAUGGGGUUUGUUGAGUGGUACAAAUACUCAAACUUAGAAGUGAUGAUGGUUGCAAGCACCAUGAAUGCAUUGGAAGCCACUGAAUUGUAUACUAAAAUGGUGAAUUUUAUGUCAUCUAAAUUCUACCUGAAUUACAGGAGUCAUUCUUAACUAUUUUCUUUCCAGGCACUCUAAUCCACUCCGGUGUCUUCUGUGUAUAUUACUAUCCAGCCCAGGUCUUUUUUCUGAGUUACAUGCCUGAAUAUCCAACUCCUUACUUAUCUAACACCUCCACAGGUACGCUUCAGAUGCAUCUUUGCAACAUACAAAAUUGAGCCCAUUACCUUGCCCUUCAAUUUAGGUGACCUCUGAAUGUUUCCUAUCAGUAAAUACUAAAAGCUCACAUUCAUUGAGAGUUUACUAUGCUAGGGGUAAAAUAAGUGUUUUACUUUCAUUAGUUUGUUUAAUCCUCACAAGAACCUCAUAUAUUAUUUGCUUUUUGCAGUGAGAAAAUUGAGAGGUAAAAUAACUGGAUAAUCACACACCUUGUAAGUAAGGCUAACUUUGAACAAAAGGAUCCUGACUUCUCAAAGACUUUGUUCUAAAUGAUAUUGCUAAUGAUUUUUUUUUUUAGAAACUAGACAUCAUUGUCCCUUUCCUCCUGUUCAUGCCUAAAUUAUAUCUUGCCUUGACUUCUCUCCUGAAAUCCAGUUUCCCAUAUAUAAUAGCCUACUCAACAUCUCCAUUUGAAUGUCAAGUGGACAUCUGAAACUUACCGUCCAAACCAAAUUCCUUAUCUUCAACAACCUGUUGUUCAGUUGUCAUUCUCAUUUCACUUAUGCCAGCUCCAUCCUUCACAUUGCUGAGGCUAAAAACUUAAGAAUUGUUAACAUCAUUCUAUGUUGACAGAUAGUAACUGCAGUAGAAAGGGUGAGGAUUUAACAAAAUGGGUAACUAUUGAACCACUGUGUUGUAUAUUUAAAACCAAUAUAAAAUUGUAUAUCAACGAUAUUUCAGUCAUUUAAAAAAAAAACUUUGGAGUGUCCUUGACUUUCCUCUUUAACACACACAUCCAUUCUCAAGAAAUUGUGAGCUCAACUUUUGAAAUAGAAUCAGAAUCUGGCCACUUCUCAUUUCCUUCACUGCCACCAUCCUGACUCAAGCCACUCAGUCCCUCAUCUGGACUAUAGCUCAGUUGCCUACUUGAUCUCUCUGGUUCUACCUUGCUUCCUAUAGUCUGUGCUCAACAGGGCAGGUAGUAAUGCUUUUUUAAAAUUAUUUCUUAAUUGAAGAAUAGUUGACAUACAAUAUCAUGUUAGUAUCUGUCAUACAAUUGUGAUUCAACAAUUAUACAUACAAAAUGCUCACUAUAGUAAGUGUAGUUACUGUCUGCCACCAUACAAAGCUAUUACAAUAUUACUAUAUUCCCUAUGAUGUACUUUUCAUUGCUGUGACUUAUUUAAUUUACAACUGGAAGUUUGUACCUCUUUAUCCUUCACUUAUUUCACCUAACAUCUAGUGAUGGUUUUAAAAAUAAAUCAUACUGUGUCACUCAUCUGCUCAGAACUUUUCAGUAGCCCCCUAUUUCACUUAAAGUGAAAUCAGAAGUUGUAACAAUGACCUACAAAAGCUGUGUUUGAACUGGGUCCUCUAUAUCAUCUCCAAUUCUCCACCCUUCCUUGCUCCAAUUGCCUCCUUGUUCUUCAAAUACUCUGGACAGGCUACUACUUGAGGGCUCUUGCACGAGCUAUUUACUCGGCAUUCUGCUAUAUAUCCACUUGGCUAACUCCUUCACCUCCUUUAAAUCCUUGCUCAAAUGUCACCUUUUCAUUGGGGUGUAAUUUGAUCACCCCACAUUAAAAAUUGCAUCCCUUCUACCUCCAUCCAUGAUUCCCCUUUCUAUGCUCUGUUGUUUUACCUGUGACACUUGUCAUCUUCUAGCAUGCUUUACAAUUUACUUACUAAAUUAUAAACUACAUUUACUGUUUAUUGGCUAUCUCCUGCCCACUGAGGUAAGCUCCAUAACAAUAGGAAUUGUCUCUUUUGCUUACUGAUAUAUCCCAGCUAUUUGGCUCAUAGUUGAUUCUCAGUAAAUAUUUGAUGCGUGAAUGAACAAGCAAAGAAUGUAAAAAACUUAUUAAUUUUAACACUACAUAAUUGUUAGGUCAUAGCAGAAGUCAAAGUUGAAAUUAUAAAUUGUAUACAAAUUUAAAAACUAGAACACUUCAUAUGAAAACACAUGGAAUAUGAAUAAAAUCUAAAUCCAAAGGGAAAAAAUCAUAACUUUAAAGAAACAUAAUGCCAAAAGUAAUUACUGGGAUCAAAUAUCUGACAUAAUGUCCUCUGUACCAUCCCCUCCUGCAUCCAUCUCUGUAAGGCUACUAGACGUUCUCUCCCAAAGUUACUGCGUUAGAACGGUAGUUCUCGAAGUGUAGUCAAUGGACCAACAACAUCAGCAUUACCUGGGAAAUUGUUAGAAUGUAAAUUCUGAUUUAAUAAGACCUGUGAGUGAUUCUGAUGCACAUGAUUGAGAUUCAAUACGUUAGAAUUGGGGAGCCUAUUUCUCACUGCUUUUCUCCUAUGACCCAAAAGAGGAGUUGAGUCUACAUACUCAAACACUUUAUUUUGCUUAGGGAGAGAAAUUUAAUGAAAAGUAUAACAGAUAAAUAGUUCAGCCAUGUUAGUACAAAAUUUAAUUUUUGAUGCAUUCUGUCCACCAUGUAAAUUUUAAGUAAUCUGUUUUUCAUGAUGAGGCAAGACAAAAAUAUUGUGCAGAAGAAAAUUCACAGUCAUAGAUUUAUAUCUGCCUUAUGGUUUUUAUCCUGAUGUUGAUAAUCACAGACAGAUCUUUACAGAAUAUCUUACAGUAUUUCUAUAAAGAAGUAUCAAGACCUGUAUUGGGAGCAUUAUAAAAUGUACUGAAGGACAUAAAGCAAUUUGACUAAAUUAAUAGCCAUUUAAUUUCCUGGAUGGGAUUACUUAAUAUUGUAAAGGAGGACAGUGCUUCCAAAUUAAUAAAUAAAAGUAAUGCAGUUCCAAUCACAGGCACAACUUUGGGGAAGUGAGGGUUGUAUUUGACAAGUUCAUUCUAAAUUUUAUCUUGUGAAAUGAAUUAAUGAAAAGUUCAGAAUUAUGAGAAAAGAGAAUGAGGGAGAGCUUUUCAUACCACACACUAAAAUUUACUAUGAAGCUAAAGUGUUUUUAAAUGUAUGUUGUGGAUAUUGGAAGAAACAUACUGUAUGGAAAAAACAUAUUCCAAACAAUGUAUGGGAAUACUGCAGUUCAAAACUAGAUCGAUGUGGUUAUAACAAAGCAGUGUAUUAUAAAGGACAUAUUCUAAUGAAAUUGAUGAGAUAUUCAAGAAAUGAUGUUGAAGCAAUUAGCUACCCAUUCUUAAGAAAAGAAAAUUAGAUCCCCUCUUUACAUCAUACUCCAAAAUAAAUUCUUAGUUAUUAAUGUCACUAAAUAUUAAGAAUUAAAGUAUAAAGUAGACUAGUUUUGAUCUAGGAGUGACAGGAUAUGAAACCAAGACACCGUGGAGGAAGACUUGGACACAUACAAAUUAAAACCUUCAUGAAAAAAUGCACCACAAAUUAAAGAUAAAUUAUGGAUUUGGAGAAAAUUAAAUUGUAAGGCAUAAAAUAAUCAAGAAAUUGAUAUGUAUACUAUAUAAAGAGCUGAAAUUAGUAGCAAGAUGAACUACUCAACAGAAAAUAAGAACAUAACUUAAUAGAUGAGUCAAAAGAAGAAAACAAAUGGCUGAUGAACAUACCAGAAAUGCUCAAUUUACAUAUAAACCAAGAAAUACAAGAUUAGCACCUAUAUGUACCUCUUUUUCAAGAUUCCAUUUUAUUUUCCUAAUUUCAUAGUUAUAUAUUCUUAUGUUUUCUAUCACCUUAUGAUUUUCACAGAUAAGAAAACUAGGGUACAAAGCAGUUCAAUUAGUUGGCCAAAGCCACACAGAUAAUAACCAUGGCAGAACUAGGACAGUUUGGCUCUAGGAUGUACCCUCUAAAUUUCUACACCAUGCUACCUCUAAAUGAAUUAAAGCUGUUUUCAAAUGUGAUCUGAAAGUGGUCAAGACCCUUUCAGAAAAUCUAUGAUGUCAAAACUUUUCCUAACAAUUAAACAUUAUUUGGCUUUUUCACUCACUUUUUCAUGAGUGUACAGUGAAGUUUUCUUGAGGCUAUGUGAUGUUGCAAAAGACUGAAAGCAAAAACAGAUAUGAGAAUACAGCUGAGUACCAACAAGCCAGUUAUUAGAUUUACAAGAAUAUAAACAGCCACUCAUUUUGAAAAAUGUUUUUUCAUAAAAGUAUUUAUUUGUUAACAUAUACUUUAUUAUUAUUUGAAGUGAAUUAAUGAAUAUGUUUACAUUUUCUC